UUUAGCCAAGGCUCCAGUAACUAGAAAGCAUGUGAUCUAAUU
RNAcentral lists this ribosomal RNA (42 nucleotides) under Klossiella equi. Its description in RNAcentral is "large subunit ribosomal RNA". The record is from RNAcentral. Lineage: Eukaryota; Apicomplexa; Klossiellidae.